RNAcentral lists this ribosomal RNA (471 nucleotides) under uncultured bacterium. RNAcentral's name for it is "partial 16S ribosomal RNA". It matches the Rfam family "Bacterial small subunit ribosomal RNA", at positions 28 to 507 of the family's 1533-position model. The record is from RNAcentral.
GACGAACGCUGGCGGCGUGCUUAACACAUGCAAGUCGAACGGAAAGGCCCUGCUUGCAGGGUGCUCGAGUGGCGAACGGGUGAGUAACACGUGGGUGAUCUGCCCCUUACUUUGGGAUAAGCCUGGGAAACUGGGUCUAAUACUGGAUAGGACCAUGCUGUAGGUGGUGUGGUGGAAAGAUUUUUUCGGUAAGGGAUGAGCUCGCGGCCUAUCAGCUUGUUGGUGGGGUAAUGGCCUACCAAGGCGUCGACGGGUAGCCGGCCUGAGAGGGUGGACGGCCACAUUGGGACUGAGAUACGGCCCAGACUCCUACGGGAGGCAGCAGUGGGGAAUAUUGCACAAUGGGCGCAAGCCUGAUGCAGCGACGCCGCGUGGGGGAUGACGGCCUUGGGGUUGUAAACUCCUUUCAGCCAUGACGAAGCCUCUUUUGGGGUGACGGUAGUGGUAGAAGAAGCACCGGCUAACUACGUG